Lolium rigidum is the source of this 1165-nucleotide long non-coding RNA. RefSeq lists it as uncharacterized. The transcript has 2 exons. The record is from RefSeq and is a predicted model, not a curated record. NCBI's taxonomy places the organism in Eukaryota, Viridiplantae, Streptophyta, Magnoliopsida, Poales, Poaceae.
UACUUCGUCACGGCGAGCGGGAGCUGCAGUGGCUGCCGGCGUGGUGAGGGCCGCAGCCUCGCCGGCGUCCAACUUCUAUUAGCGACUGCGAUAUUGGCCUUCCUCGCCAGCGACACCACGAAAGCAGCGUUGCAAUUGGCGGCAGUUUCUUGCGCCAUUAGAGGCCAAAGAGUUACAAGGCCGAGGAGGAGCUUCAGGUCCAGCUUCAGGAUGACGGGCUCCACUGAUUUGGGUGCUCCUGUGAUAUAUUUUGGAGGAAACGUUCCUGAUGAGAAACAACCAUCGGGUAUGCUACUUAAUUUUUGUCUCUCUUCUAGAUUUUUGGCUCCUCACGGUGUUGCUCUCGAUCUGUCCGUCCUGCAAUUCUGUGGUGCCAGCGCCACUGGUGCCUGUAUGGAUUCGGUGGUUGUUGCCAUCUUCUGCGUUUUAGGCCUCAACAAGAAGAUGAGUCAUGGGGAACGGUAACAGAAAGGAAGAAAGAACGAAGCCAUGGAUUUAUUCACUGCUAUCAUGGGUAACGGUUUAGCAGAUGAUCUUGCUGAUCCUCUUAUAUCCAUGAGGGACAAUUAUCUCCUUUUUCUUCCAUCAUUUGCCUUUAUACCAGUCCCUGCGAAUGUUAAUCCUGCAAGAAGUGACAUUCAUUACACUUCCACUACAUCUACAUGAUUCUGCAGGUACGUUUUUCAUCUUAAAUAUCAUCUCAAUCCUUCAUGGCCAAUUGGUCAUACAUCGAACUUCUCCAAUUUUAUCAAGUUAACUUUGUUUAUAAACAAAAAGGUUAGUUUAUAUUUACCAAUAGAUGAUACUGAUUAUAUGUUUGUAAUACUUGGGGCUGUGGAUUUUUUUCUUCACAUAUCCUUUUCUAUAUAGAUCCGUUUGAUGCUCUAUAAGUUUAUAUAUUUAACUACAUGCCAACGGAGGAAAGUUUCACCCAUUUUUUCUCAGUUGAUCACAUCUUCAAACCAUUUGUUGAUUAGGGGGAUAGGAGUGAAUAUAAAUGUGUGGUUUGCCAGGAUGACUUGAUUAGUUCACAACGCAAACCUGCUUGAAUAGAUUGGAUUGGAAAUGUGCAUUAUGGUACUUCAACUAUUUAGAUCUCAAGUAAUAUUAUUCUGCGCUGCUGCACAGCCCAUAAUUACUGUGUAUCAAUUUGAAAGUCUAGAAA